UCCGGUUUAACACCGGCAGUCCCAGUAGAGUUCCCGGCAUAACCCGCUGGCAACUACUGGUAAGGGUUGCGCUCGUUGCGGGACUUAACCCAACACCUCACGGCACGAGCUGACGACAGCCAUGCAGCAUCUGCGCACGCUCCCUUGCGGGUCCUUCCCCUUUCGAGGUCGUACCACGUGCAUGUCAAGCCCAGGUAAGGUUCUUCGCGUUGCGUCGAAUUAAACCACAUGCUCCGCUGCUUGUGCGGGCCCCCGUCAAUUCCUUUGGGUUUUAGCCUUGCGGCCGUACUCCCCAGGCGGGGCACUUAAUGCGUUAGCGGCGGCACGGGAGGAGUCGACACCUCCCACACCUAGUGCCCAUCGUUUACGGCGUGGACUAC
This 380-nucleotide unclassified non-coding RNA is filed under the name uncultured bacterium. RNAcentral's name for it is "contains 16S-23S intergenic spacer region". The record is from RNAcentral.